This 238-nucleotide long non-coding RNA is filed under the name Lathyrus oleraceus (garden pea). RNAcentral's name for it is "Pisum sativum (pea) long non-coding RNA (PSAT_LNC006702)". The record is from RNAcentral. Lineage: Eukaryota; Viridiplantae; Streptophyta; Magnoliopsida; Fabales; Fabaceae.
UCAAAUUGAAAAUGCCCAAACAAUGUUCGCUUCUCCCUUAGGCAUAGAAGGAUUUUCAAAAACAAAUAAAAGCAAUUACUUAGAUCGAUGCAUAAUAACAGGAAUAUCAAGAGCAGUCCAAUUGUUGCAAGCUUUUCCAUGCGUCACAAAAUUGGUGCAGUCUUCCUCUUCGUCAUCCUCUAGCACAGCAGCUAAGUGUUGUUUAUUGCCAUGAAUGAACCCUCCACUACGGAAGCUG